RNAcentral lists this ribosomal RNA (499 nucleotides) under uncultured bacterium. RNAcentral describes it as "bacterial SSU rRNA". It matches the Rfam family "Bacterial small subunit ribosomal RNA", at positions 30 to 517 of the family's 1533-position model. The record is from RNAcentral.
AUUGAACGCUGGCGGAAUGCUUUACACAUGCAAGUCGAACGGCAGCACGGGGCAACCUGGUGGCGAGUGGCGAACGGGUGAGUAAUACAUCGGAACGUGCCCAGUCGUGGGGGAUAACGUAGCGAAAGCUACGCUAAUACCGCAUACGAUCUACGGAUGAAAGCGGGGGACGUCGCAAGAGCCUCGCGCGAUUGGAGCGGCCGAUGGCAGAUUAGGUAGUUGGUGGGGUAAAGGCUCACCAAGCCUGCGAUCUGUAGCUGGUCUGAGAGGACGACCAGCCACACUGGAACUGAGACACGGUCCAGACUCCUACGGGAGGCAGCAGUGGGGGAAUUUUGGACAAUGGGCGCAAGCCUGAUCCAGCCAUUCCGCGUGCAGGAUGAAGGCCUCGGUUGUAAACUAGCUUUUGUACGGUACGAAAAGGUUUUACGUCUAAUACAGAGGGCGUCAUGACGGUACCGGUAAGAAUAAGCACCGGCUAACUACGUGCCAGCAGCCG